This 481-nucleotide ribosomal RNA is filed under the name uncultured bacterium. RNAcentral describes it as "bacterial SSU rRNA". It matches the Rfam family "Bacterial small subunit ribosomal RNA", at positions 40 to 518 of the family's 1533-position model. The record is from RNAcentral.
CGGCGUGCUUAACACAUGCAAGUCGAACGGAGUUUUUAAACGGAAGUUUUCGGAUGGAAGUUUAAGAACUUAGUGGCGGACGGGUGAGUGACGCGUGGGUAACCAGCCUCAUACAGGGGGAUAACAGUUAGAAAUGACUGCUAACACCGCAUAAUAUAGUGAAACCGCAUGAUUUUUGCUAUCAAAUAUUUAUAGGUAUGGAGAUGGGCCCGCGUCUGAUUAGCUAGUUGGUGGGGUAAAAGCCUACCAAGGCGACGAUCAGUAGCCGGCUUGAGAGAGUGACCGGCCACAUUGGGACUGAGACACGGCCCAAACUCCUACGGGAGGCAGCAGUGGGGAAUAUUGGACAAUGGGGGAAACCCUGAUCCAGCGAACCGCCGCGUGAGUGAAGAAGUAUUUCGGUAUGUAAAGCUCUAUCAGCAGGGAAGAUAAUGACAGUACCUGACUAAGAAGCCCCGGCUAACUACGUGCCAGCCGCAGC